This 221-nucleotide unclassified non-coding RNA is filed under the name Hevea brasiliensis (rubber tree). Lineage: Eukaryota; Viridiplantae; Streptophyta; Magnoliopsida; Malpighiales; Euphorbiaceae. The record is from RNAcentral.
GGGCGGUGUGUACAAAGGGCAGGGACUUAAUCAACGCAAGCUUAUGACCCGCACUUACUGGGAAUUCCUCGUUCAUGGGGAAUAAUUGCAAUCCCCGAUCCCCAUCACGAAUGGGGUUCAACGGGUUACCCGCGCCUGCCGGCGUAGGGUAGGCACACGCUGAGCCAGUCAGUGUAGCGCGCGUGCAGCCCCGGACAUCUAAGGGCAUCACAGACCUGUUA